GUUGCGAACGGGUGAGUAACGCGUAGGUAACCUGCCUGGUAGCGGGGGAUAACUAUUGGAAACGAUAGCUAAUACCGCAUAAUAUUAAUUAUUGCAUGAUAAUUGAUUGAAAGAUGCAACUGCAUCACUACCAGAUGGGCCUGCGUUGUAUUAGCUAGUAGGUGAGGUAACGGCUCACCUAGGCGACGAUACAUAGCCGACCUGAGAGGGUGAUCGGCCACACUGGGACUGAGACACGGCCCAGACUCCUACGGGAGGCAGCAGUAGGGAAUCUUCGGCAAUGGACGAAAGUCUGACCGAGCAACGCCGCGUGAGUGAAGAAGGUUUUCGGAUCGUAAAGCUCUGUUGUAAGAGAAGAACGGGUGUGAGAGUGGAAAGUUCACACUGUGACGGUAUCUUACCAGAAAGGGACGGCUAACUACGUGCCAGCAGCCGCGGUAAUACGUAGGUCCCGAGCGUUGUCCGGAUUUAUUGGGCGUAAAGCGAGCGCAGGCGGUUAGAUAAGUCUGAAGUUAAAGGCUGUGGCUUAACCAUAGUACGCUUUGGAAACUGUUUAACUUGAGUGCAGAAGGGGAGAGUGGAAUUCCAUGUGUAGCGGUGAAAUGCGUAGAUAUAUGGAGGAACACCGGUGGCGAAAG
Molecule: ribosomal RNA, 638 nt
Filed under: uncultured Streptococcus sp.
Lineage: Bacteria; Bacillati; Bacillota; Bacilli; Lactobacillales; Streptococcaceae
Description: bacterial SSU rRNA
Rfam family: Bacterial small subunit ribosomal RNA
Source: RNAcentral